Pan troglodytes (chimpanzee) is the source of this 92-nucleotide small nucleolar RNA. Its record names the gene SNORD116. It matches the Rfam family "Small nucleolar RNA SNORD116". From Rfam's summary of the family: HBII-85 is a member of the C/D class of snoRNAs, which contain the C (UGAUGA) and D (CUGA) box motifs. HBII-85 is encoded in a tandemly repeated array with another C/D snoRNA, HBII-52, in the Prader-Willi syndrome (PWS) region of chromosome 15. Unlike most other snoRNAs, HBII-85 is expressed prevalently in the brain (but is absent in PWS patients) and lacks any significant complementarity with ribosomal RNA. The record is from Ensembl. Lineage: Eukaryota; Metazoa; Chordata; Mammalia; Primates; Hominidae.
GAAUCGAUGAUGACUUCCAUAUAUACAUUCCUUGGAAAGCUGAACAAAAUGAGUGAAAACUCUAUACCGUCAUUCUCGUCGAACUGAGGUCC